ACAUUGUGUCAAACGACUCCUAAAAUUUGUCAGUAUGAUCUUUGGCGUUGUCCUAUCAUAUAUAUUUAAUGGGUUCAACUAACUCUGUUUUUCGGCUGAUAGUAUGCAUAUAAAUUCACUCUUCUUAAACUUAUAAAAUUAAAUACUAGAAAUAUUGUUGGAAACAAAUGAAAGACUAAGUGAAGCGGAUGAAUAAACAAACAAUUAAAUAUAUGUCAUAGACAUAUUUUUAUCUAGGUAAUGCUAUAAAUGAAACGGAUGAAUAAAUAAAAAUUAAAUUUAUGUCAUAAACAUAUUUU
This 299-nucleotide long non-coding RNA is filed under the name Nicotiana benthamiana. RNAcentral describes it as "long non-coding RNA (NBEN_LNC024981)". The record is from RNAcentral. Lineage: Eukaryota; Viridiplantae; Streptophyta; Magnoliopsida; Solanales; Solanaceae.